RNAcentral lists this ribosomal RNA (407 nucleotides) under uncultured soil bacterium. Its description in RNAcentral is "bacterial SSU rRNA". It matches the Rfam family "Bacterial small subunit ribosomal RNA", at positions 26 to 420 of the family's 1533-position model. The record is from RNAcentral.
AGAGCGAACGUUGGCGGCGCGCCUAACACAUGCAAGUCGAACGCGAAAAGCCUUCGGGCUGAGUAGAGUGGCGCACGGGUGAGUAACACGUGAGUAAUCUGCCCAUUGGACCGGGAUAACAUGCCGAAAGGCGUGCUAAUACCGGAUAAGACCACGAACCCUGCGGGGAUUGUGAGAAAAGACGGGGAUUCGCAAGAACCUGUCACCAUAGGAUGAGCUCGCGGCCUAUCAGCUAGUUGGCGGGGUAAUGGCCCACCAAGGCUAAGACGGGUAGCUGGUCUGAGAGGAUGAUCAGCCACACUGGAACUGAGACACGGUCCAGACUCCUACGGGAGCAGCAGUGGGGAAUUUGCGUCAAUGGACGAAAGUCUGACGCAGCGACGCCGCGUGUGCGAUGAAGGCCGUUU